Molecule: transfer RNA, 75 nt
Filed under: Pararhodospirillum photometricum DSM 122
Lineage: Bacteria; Pseudomonadati; Pseudomonadota; Alphaproteobacteria; Rhodospirillales; Rhodospirillaceae
Description: tRNA-Gln
Source: RNAcentral
GUGGUGGUGUUCACCCUGGCCCGGAUGUUCGGGGCGACAUCGCGCUCGGCGGCCUCCCUAGCAACCCUGGUCCCG